Molecule: small RNA, 560 nt
Filed under: Pan troglodytes (chimpanzee)
Lineage: Eukaryota; Metazoa; Chordata; Mammalia; Primates; Hominidae
Description: processed transcript
Source: RNAcentral
UUCGAGGCAGGCGUUGAUGCUGCGGCCGCUUCGCACUGUGGCUCCUGCCGACCGCCAGGCGCUGCUACAGUGGAUGCGAACUACCCGUAAGUAUGCAGCAGCAGCCGGAACCCACAGUUCACCUUGGUGCGUUCCUUUAUGAUGAAGACUUAUUGAUUCAUUAUAUGAGAAAGGAAAAAUGAGCAGAAACUACUGUAUGAUGUGCAGCUCACACCAGACAGCACCUUUAGGGUUAUCUUUCCAGUUCAGCAGUGCAACUCUAUGGAGUAGAAUUGAAAGGAGACUUUCGCCAAUUGCAGGAAAUGGUCAUAAAAAAAUACCUGUUCACUGACAGAAUAAAGUCUCACUCUGUCACCUGGCUGGAGUUUAGUGGCACGAUCUUAGCUCCCUGCAACCUCUGCCUCCUGAGUUCAAGUGAUUCUCCUACCUCAGCCUCCUGAGUAGCUGGAAUUACAGAGUAAUUUAUCCCUACUUACAGAGAGAUUGCCCUACGUGUAACAGCUGCAUACAAAAAAGUUAUAAAAUUAUCAUUGGUUUAACAAGGAUAAAUGAAAAACAUU